Molecule: non-coding RNA, 75 nt
Organism: Rhamnusium bicolor
Lineage: Eukaryota; Metazoa; Arthropoda; Insecta; Coleoptera; Cerambycidae
Source: the annotation of a GenBank genome assembly
GGCUUUAUGGCGGAGUGGUAAGGACACUAGCCUCUCACCCUUGAGUCCCGGGUUCAAUCCCCGGUCGAGGAGCUA